RNAcentral lists this ribosomal RNA (62 nucleotides) under uncultured bacterium. RNAcentral's name for it is "partial 16S ribosomal RNA". The record is from RNAcentral.
AACCCGGCCAAACGGGGGGUAGACGGGACCCGGAAGGUACUGAAGUUCGACUGAUUGGGGUG